UCGAGCGAGAAAUCUAAGUUUGACGCUUCGGUUGAUUUCUUAGAUGGAAAGCGGCGCAAGGGAGAGUAACGCGUAGUUAUCUGCCCCAAGGUCCGGAAUAGCCUCGGGAAACUGAGGGUAAUGCCGGAUAAUAUCCCCGGAUCAAAGGUGUGAUUCCGCCUUGGGAGGAGACUGCGUUGUACUAGCUUGUUGGUGGGGUAAUGGCCUACCAAGGCGAUGAUGCAUAGCGGGCGUGAGAGCGUGGCCCGUCUCACUGGGACUGAAACACUGCCCAGACACCUACGGGUGGCUGCAGUCGAGAAUCUUCGGCAAUGGGCGAAAGCCUGACCGAGCGAUGCCGCGUGCGGGAUGAAGGCCUUCGGGUUGUAAACCGCUGUCAGUUGGGAGGAAGGCUCCGUGAAGAGCGGAGCUUGACCUAUCUUCAGAGGAAGUCCGGGCUAAGUUCGUGCCAGCAGCCGCGGUAAUACGAACCGGACAAACGUUAUUCGGAAUUAUUGGGCUUAAAGGGUGCGUAGGCGGCGCGGUAAGUGAGGUGUGAAAUCCCACGACUCAAUCGUGGAACUGCGCUUCAUACUGCCGUGCUAGACAGAGGUAAACGGAACUGAUGGUGAAGC
Molecule: ribosomal RNA, 614 nt
Filed under: uncultured bacterium
Lineage: Bacteria
Description: bacterial SSU rRNA
Rfam family: Bacterial small subunit ribosomal RNA
Source: RNAcentral